UAAUGACUUUUACCUCAUUUUUAAAACAAAUCCAUAGUAUGGAUGAUAUUGAUGAUGAAAUGUCUUACGAUGAUCAUUUAGAGGUUUAUUUCGAACAACUGGCAAUUCCAGGAAUGAUGGAAUAAAGCAUACGAAGUAGAAGGACUGGAACCUCCAGAAAAAGUACUUUAAGUUACCUACAGGUGAUCCUAGUCAGGUAUGAAUUGAUAAGAAAUGCCUGCACCUUCCCUCCUUCCUAUCUUUCCCUUGCCUACAGAAAAUUAAAAGGCAAAACAAUGGACAUCUACAUAUUCUUCAUUCAGAUCAACCAGUGGCUAGCAUUUGCCACCUUUUGCAGUUUCUUUCUCUUUCCAUAAGUACUUUCUUCUCUGAAUCAUUUGAAAGCAAAUGAAAACAGUAGCCUAAAGUGUCAGUUUCAACCCGAAAAUAACAGCUCUGAUUUCUCAUGGCUCACACUCGUCUGAAAUGACUCGGGUAGAGGCUGAGGAAGGCUGUGUUGUUUGUCUACCUGGGACUACACCUACUGAAAGAAGUUCUCAAGUUCUGAUUGAGUUCUAAAAUUCUUUUGAAGAUUGGAAUUCUUCAUAUGUAAAAAGAGAAGAGAAAGACAUUCUUGAUUUUGGUGACUAGAGUUGUAGAUGCUGGAAGCUUUGCCACUAACAUUGAUGAACCAGAUGCAUGUCACCAGCCCAUCACGGUGAUUCUUAAUGCCGGCACCAUGGGCCGGCACUGCCACGUUUUCCAAGGAACCUGCCAGAGCUCCUGCGGAAGCUGCUCCUCGGGCGAUGGAGUCCCUUUGCUGCUAGGCCCUUCUUCAGUCACCACAGGAUGCCUGCCAUUCAUGAACAGGAAGGAGAGGACGGGCUUUGAAUAAAAAACAGGAUCCAGGAAAUAUUUGUGAGGCCAUUUGGACUUCAGUGUGAAAUGGUGUUAAAAGAUGAAGUCAUUUAUUCAAGAAGUAAACCUCUGCCACCUGGACUGUGCUCAGACAUUUCAUUGAUUUUGUUUAAUAAACAUUUUCUGGCUUUGG
RNAcentral lists this long non-coding RNA (1030 nucleotides) under Homo sapiens (human). RNAcentral describes it as "HSALNT0331288". The record is from RNAcentral. Lineage: Eukaryota; Metazoa; Chordata; Mammalia; Primates; Hominidae.